RNAcentral lists this ribosomal RNA (403 nucleotides) under uncultured bacterium. Its description in RNAcentral is "partial 16S ribosomal RNA". It matches the Rfam family "Bacterial small subunit ribosomal RNA", at positions 28 to 526 of the family's 1533-position model. The record is from RNAcentral.
GACGAACGCUGGCGGCGUGCCUAAUACAUGCAAGUCGAACGCAGUGGGGACGGGUGAGUAACACGUGGGUAACCUCGCAUCAGAGGGGAUAACACUUGGAAACAGCUGCUAAACCGAUACUGAUGGAUGGACUGGCGGGGCAUUAGCUAGUGGGUGGGGUAACGGCUCACCAAGGCCACGAUGCAUAGCCGGCCUGAGAGGGUGACCGGCCAAACUGGGACUGAGACACGGCCCAGACUCCUACGGGAGGCAGCAGUAGGGAAUCUUCGGCAAUGGGCGAAAGCCUGAUCGAGCAACGCCGCGUGAGUGAAGAAGGUUUUCGGGUUGUAAAACUCUGUUGUUAGGGAAGCGGUACCUAAACAGAAAGCCACGGCUAACUACGUGCCAGCAGCCGCGGUAAUAC